RNAcentral lists this ribosomal RNA (479 nucleotides) under uncultured bacterium. Its description in RNAcentral is "partial 16S ribosomal RNA". It matches the Rfam family "Bacterial small subunit ribosomal RNA", at positions 28 to 507 of the family's 1533-position model. The record is from RNAcentral.
GAUGAACGCUAGCGGGAGGCCUAACACAUGCCAGCCGAGCGGUAUGGAUAGCUUGCUAUCCAGAGAGCGGCGUACGGGUGCGUAACACGUGUGCAACCUACCUUUAUCUGGGGGACAGCCUUUCGAAAGGAAGAUUAAUACCCCAUAAUAUAAUGAUUGGCAUCAAUUAUUAUUGAAAACUCCGGUGGAUAGAGAUGGGAACGCGCAAGAUUAGAUAGUUGGUGAGGUAACGGCUUACCAAGUCAAUGAUCUUUAGGGGUCCUGAGAGGGAGAUCCCCCACACUGGUACUGAGACACGGACCAGACUCCUACGGGAGGCAGCAGUGAGGAAGAUUGGAGGAUGGGUGAGAGCCUGAUCCAGCCAUCCCGCGUGAAGGAGGACGGGCCUAGGGAUUGUAAACUUCUUUUGUACAGGGAUAAACCUACCCUCGUGAGGGUAGCUGAAGGUACUGUACGAAUAAGCACCGGCUAACUACGUG